Small nuclear RNA from Mesocricetus auratus (golden hamster), 124 nucleotides. The record is from Ensembl. NCBI's taxonomy places the organism in Eukaryota, Metazoa, Chordata, Mammalia, Rodentia, Cricetidae.
CCAUACCUUUUUUGGGGGUUGUGUUACUGUCAGUGAAGGCAUAGUGGGGACAAUACUGCUAACACCUAACACCAUACCUGCAUCAGUUAAAGCUCUGCUUUACCUUGGUGCAAUUUUUGGAAAA